GAAGGGACCAGUCCUCUUGUGCCGUCCGUCAGCUCUCCCAGCAACCAGCCAUCCUCAUCCAUGUCUCCAAAGACGUAAACGUACUGUCCAGCGGUCAGUGGAAGCUCGUUUUCUGGGUCCUGAUUAGGGCCCUCAACAGGAUUGUAGCUGUGACGAGCUAAGAAUCUUCGAAUUAGUGGUGAUGUUUCACCGCGAGAAUGCAGGUUGCAGGCUGCCACCAGCCACACUUGCAACUCAUCCAGCCUUUGCCGUGGGUUGGAGCAUUCCUGUUUAGGAUUUCCAUGUGGCCUCAGCUUUCUCCCGAUCUCCUGGAGGCGCCUGCAUUUCUCCUCAAGCUGAUCGCUGAGUAUUACAAGUUUGGCCCCAGCCUGCAGGAGCCUCUGCUGCUCUUGGCAGUGUUCAGGAGGGCCUUCCACUCUCAGCAGGCAUGGCUGGGCCUUCCACUGCUGUAUGGGAUUUCCCUGUGGCCUCAGCUUUCUACCGAUCUGGAGCUGCCUGCAUAUCACCUGCAGCCGCUCUCUGAGCACUUCAAGUAUGGUCCCAGCCUGCUGGAGCCUCUGCAGCUCCUGGCACUCUUCAGUAAAGCCUUCCACUCUCAGCAGGCAGUGCUGGGCCUUCCAUUGCAUUUUGGGAUUUCCUUGUGGCCUCAGCUUUCUCCCAAUCUGGAGCUGCCUGCAUUUCUCCCCCAGCUGAUUGCUGAGUAUUGCAAGUAUGGCCCCAGCCUGCUGGAGCCUCUGCAGCUCCUGGCACUCGUCAGGAGGGCAUUCCUCUCUCAGAAGGCAGUGCUGGGCCUUCCAUUGCUGCUGUGGAUUUCCCUGUGGCCUCAGCUCUCUCCCGAUGUCCUGGAGCUGCCUGAAUUUGUCCUGCAGCCUCUCACUGAGCACUCCAAGUUUGGCCCCAGCCUGCUGGAGCCUCUGCAGCUCCUGGCCCACUUCUGCAGAGCGUCCCUCUCUCAGCAGGCAGUGAGACAAGGCAGACUUCUCCUUUCCAAGGAGUCUGCCUUGUCUCUGUAGAUCCUUCAGCAGAUCCCUGAGCAGAUGGGCGUUCUGCU
Molecule: long non-coding RNA, 1051 nt
Filed under: Gallus gallus (chicken)
Lineage: Eukaryota; Metazoa; Chordata; Aves; Galliformes; Phasianidae
Description: lncRNA (ENSGALG00010023922.1)
Source: RNAcentral